UUGAAAGGGAAACGAUUGAAGUCAGUCGUACCGGCGGGUAAUCAGCCUUUCGGGUAUGAUUCUGUGGAGCGUGAGGAGUUAAACGCCUUCAUGCCUGCAUAUUCGUGCUCUUGGGUGUACUUGCUCGUGUGGUUGGUUAACAUCAAUUUCGGUUAUCAUAAAAUGGCUGGAGGAAUGUAGCUUCGAUCUCGUAUUGAAGUGUUAUAGCCUUCGGCAGAUGUGAUGAUUGGGAUUGAGGAUUGCAACGGAUACCCUUCGGGGCUACCUGUCUGAUUUCUGAUCGUUGCUCUGGUGCCGAAAGCUUGCUUACGGUUAUCAAAGUCGAUGGUCAAUAGGUUAGAAUGGGUUAAAUUCGUUAAGGAUGUUGACGUA
RNAcentral lists this ribosomal RNA (372 nucleotides) under uncultured Glomeromycotina. RNAcentral's name for it is "eukaryotic LSU rRNA". Lineage: Eukaryota; Fungi; Glomeromycota. The record is from RNAcentral.